RNAcentral lists this ribosomal RNA (388 nucleotides) under uncultured bacterium. RNAcentral describes it as "bacterial SSU rRNA". It matches the Rfam family "Bacterial small subunit ribosomal RNA", at positions 28 to 417 of the family's 1533-position model. The record is from RNAcentral.
GACGAACGCUGGCGGCGUGCUUAACACAUGCAAGUCGAGCGGUAAGGCCCUUUCGGGGGUACACGAGCGGCGAACGGGUGAGUAACACGUGGGUGACCUGCCCUCAGCUCUGGGAUAAGCCUGGGAAACCGGGUCUAAUACUGGAUAUGACUCCAUGACGCAUGUUGUGGGGUGGAAAGCCUUGUGCGGCUGAGGAUGGGCCCGCGGCCUAUCAGCUUGUUGGUGGGGUGAUGGCCUACCAAGGCGACGACGGGUAGCCGGCCUGGGAGGGCGACCGGCCACACUGGGACUGAGACACGGCCCAGACUCCUACGGGAGGCAGCAGUGGGGAAUCUUGCGCAAUGGGCGAAAGCCUGACGCAGCGACGCCGCGUGAGGGAUGACGGCCU